UCUCUCUCUCUCUCUCUCUCUCUCUCUCUCUCGAUCUCGAUCUGAGAGGAAACGAGGCAGCCACAGCCUCCUGCACCCCCUUCUCUCUCGCCGCUGCUGCUCCCCAACCACCGUGCUGUGACGUUGCUUCCCCAAUUGGUCGCUGUCUCAUCUCCCCCGACCUCAAUACCGUCCUGGGCGGUGCAGCGCCGCCUCUGCCUCCACCCCCACUGGGCAAGGAGCUCGAGGUGUUUGGGGGAUUCUUGUCCCUGAUGUUAAUUAGGGUGACUAUUUCUGUUUGGGUAAUCCGGGGGACGAAUUUGAUGCUUGUGUUAAAUUCUUGUUGUAUCAUUUUUUGUGCCCAUUAAAUACAUUUACCAUUUUAUGACUUGAAUUUGCGGCCAGAGAGCGUUGAUUUUACCGAAUACAGAUAAGGAGAACUUUAACCUUGCGCCCACCUAUGGCAAUGUUGCCCUCUUUAUAUUCUCCCUCGCUCAUCAGCAGCAGCGAUGGUGGCGUCAUUGUCGGCCUUGCAGCAUGUGGCAUAAUCAUGUCCAUUGCCUACUCUGGGGCAGAUCUGAUCUAAGACUUCAAGUGCGGCUACCUCACCCUCUCUUCACCAUGUGCAGUGUUCAUCUCGCAGGUUCCAAGUUGGUUAAUGUUGAUUUUUGCUCAUGCACAACCCAUCAUAGGAAUUAGUAGGAUCAUCUUCGAUGGAUGUAAGGACUGCAACAGGUUUCUUUCAGCAGCCUCGGGUUGUUAAGAAGAGGGUCAGGAUUGCUCUGGGCAGAUGCUUAAAUUCCUGGAUGUAAACGCACACUUGUCUCCUACACAGGCCAAAAUACUAUUGGAGAUAAGGAUACCCGCGCUGCUGCUGUUGCGUUUGGUUAGGGAGGGGCUUCUUCGUCUGCUUUGCCGUGCGGUGGCUGUGCGGCUGCUUGUUCCUUCUUUGCUAGGCAGGGAUCGGCUUUGGUGGUGGCAGACGCUGGCAAGUCAUGGGGUUAGAGCAUAGGAAGCUGACAUGGCAUUUGAAACUUACGUGGUCAUUGAAGGGCUUGGCAACAGUGCUUACAGAGUCUGGGAAAGAAAAUAUGGAGGAAUAAGCUACGAUAAUUUUGGUGAAGAACUUUCUUUCCCUAUGUUGUGAAGAGUUUGGUCCUCUGAUAGAUUUGUGUUCUUAGAAAAUGCGAGGAUGAUGACAAUUAUUGUGCUACUGCUAUCUUCUUCAGCUCCUCGUGCUUCCCAAGGUCGCAGGUGUUAGUGGAGAUCGAAGUUCGAAGGAGGCUGCUCGCGAGACGGCUGGGCUUCCUUCAAUAGUGGUGCUAACAUUUUGAAUAAUAAACCGGGAGCUGACAAGCGGUCUGAAUUUCUGCUAGGAUUUUUUUACCUUACCGCUUUGUAGCCCCUGUCGAGGAAUGUAUGUAGUGGAUCAUGCACUACUGGAAGUUGAUCGUUGGGUGAAGGAAGAUGGAUGGUCUUACCGCUCUGUUCUUCUUGCUAAGUGGAUUACGACUUCCUUGCUCCCCUUUAUGGACAAGCAUUCUCAUCUGCUGGUCACUUGCCUAAGAUACAAUAUGCUAAUGCUAUCUUGGUUCUGUUUCGUUUGCUCUUGCAGAAAAUAAGUGAAAUGUGCAGACCGACCACAUGGGCAGCCGGUCUUGCAACUCCCAAUGCUCUCAACCCCCCGCUAACCCUCUCUCAUUUUGAUCUAGCCGACUAAGAUUUAUUAAGUACUGCAACCAAACCAUAAUUUGGACACCAAAACCUGAAUGAUAAGUAACAUGUAGAUAUACCAUGUGCUGCAGAUGUCAAUCGUGGAUGCGGAAAAUACCUCGGGAGUAGAGUCAAUUAGAACUGUGGAUUGAUGUAUUUAUUCCUUUGUAUUAUUAAAAACAACCUUUAUAUAUAAGCACAAUGACUUCCACCAUGGCUUUGACAGGGACAGUCAAGUGUUUUGAUUUAUUGCUGCUAUAUUCAAAUUUAUCGGAUGCCCAGUAAAGCGUUGCAUGUGCAAGCAAUUCUUGCUGUUCCAUGCAGAAUAGCUUGGUUCGUAAAUGCAAACUGAUUAACCAUAUGAUUGCAUUGGCUGUGUAUUAGGAUUCGUUCUGCCUUCUUCUUUUUUAUAUUGUCCUCUAUUUGUUGUGCCUAAUCUUUAUGUCCUCAUUGUUUUUGUUACAUUUUAUAACUCUAGGAUCUACUCGGCACGAAUGAAAUUACUAACAUGCCUCUUCUUUUUACUAAUGAUUGAAACUCAGGACAAACGCUACUGGCAAGGGGGCUUGCUGAUAUCCCCGGAGAGCAAGAAGAGCACCACCAUCUGCUCCAACCCGCCGACUGGUAGAUCCGUUUUGGUUCUUAACAGAAUCAACGAGAGACCCCUCCGAGCACAAGGCUAAUUACCAAGAUUAUGAUAUGCUCAAGGUCAGGUUUGCAAAGAGUGAUCGACACACCCAUUGUCGCAUCAUGGUAGGAACCGACAAGAGAGCCACCGUAACAACCAACUGGUCUGAGUUCCGCCGCCUUGCAAAAAUCCAUGAAGGAGACAUCUGUGCCUUUCUUUUUCAAGGUCACCACAGAGCAACACCUGGUUCUCAUCAUGCAUUGCCUUUAGAUGAACCAUUGAUAGCAACAGAAGUCGUAUCUAGAUAUCAUCUAGCAUUCUAAGGACUACUAAUCAAGCUCUGUAAUAGGAUGAAGCCUUCCUCUGUUUUUCGACGAUGCUAUUUGUUGCUUUUGAACAGCUACCACCUAUGCUUUUAUCUAUAUAACCUCUGUUGUUGUUCCUCA
Aegilops tauschii subsp. strangulata is the source of this 2766-nucleotide non-coding RNA. NCBI's taxonomy places the organism in Eukaryota, Viridiplantae, Streptophyta, Magnoliopsida, Poales, Poaceae. The record is from RefSeq and is a predicted model, not a curated record.